This is a non-coding RNA of Maylandia zebra (zebra mbuna), 412 nucleotides long. The record is from RefSeq and is a predicted model, not a curated record. NCBI's taxonomy places the organism in Eukaryota, Metazoa, Chordata, Actinopteri, Cichliformes, Cichlidae.
UGGAGACUCUGAGGAAGGAAAUACAGGAGUUACGUGUCCAGCGAGAAUUUGGGUUACAGCGUUUUGCUGGCUCCGACACUGACAUCCGAUUCUAUACCAGAUUUCCAAGCUAUGAUCAUUUGAUGGCAUUCUGGGUUUUGAUUGAGCCUUGCAUCUAUAAAAUGAUCCGGGUUUCAAGAGCCAAGUCAGCUGCCAAUCGGAACGAAGAAGUGUUGACACCUGCACGCACAUCAACAAGGCAGCUGCUACAGCCAAUUGAUGAGUUUUUUCUUUUCCUGGUUUUCCUGUCAGUUGGUUUGAAGGAGAGGGACCUGGCACACCGAUUUAACAUACACCAGUCCACAGUGAGCCGCAUUAUUGCAACAUGGACAAAUUUUCUUGCCACUGCACUGGGGUCUCAGUGCAUCUGGCU